Long non-coding RNA from Equus caballus (horse), 1671 nucleotides. RefSeq lists it as uncharacterized. The record is from RefSeq and is a predicted model, not a curated record. NCBI's taxonomy places the organism in Eukaryota, Metazoa, Chordata, Mammalia, Perissodactyla, Equidae.
GGCCCUCUCCUCGAGCCCAGAACACACGCAGACAGGCUCGCAUCCAAGAACCACACGGUGAAAUGCCCUGUUAUUUGGCGUCAGCGUCAUUCGAGUUCUUGGGCAGGUCCUGGAUUCUGGCUGCACCUCGUCUAACCACGGAUCCUGAUUCCACCACCCGAGGUUUGGAAUUUGGGGGUAACCAUGAGAACCUCACGUGGUUGUUGGGAACGUCACAUGCCACAGAGGAUGGGAAAGGAUGUUAGGAACUACCAUGAGCUACGUAGAGAAGUGACAGAUGACGGUAAUGAAGAGAGAGCGAUGUUUAAGGAGAAAGAAGCCAGUCAGCAUCAGAGUUGCGUCAAAUCAGCUGGAGAAGAACGCAGACUAACUUGUCUGAUACUGGCCACCUGGUCCUGCUAAGUCCGCACUGGGGGCGCUUCCUUCUCCUCUCUGACUUUUAAGCUGAACUAACUACAGGAACUCUGCCAGAACAUAGCAUAGAUGACAAACUUAAAUUGGAAUUAUUUUCACGUAUUUUUAAGUUAUUUCCUAGGAACCAGAGAAACGAGACCUUAUAAAUUGGGGCAGCUGGCAUGCUUGCUAAAAAUCCAUUUCUAUAUAAUUGAGUUCAUAAAUAUUAAUUUUGCCUGUUCCUGAUCUAUUUUUGAUGUCUUUUAAAGUUAGAAAAGUGCUUCAUGUUGCUCACAAUUUAGGAAUUACUGACUCCCUUGGAUGAAUCCAGAAUAUUAUUUCAGCCAUUAGAAUGUUUUCUUUGGAGUAGAGAAGUGUGCACGUGUGCACGUGUGCACGUGUGUGUGUUUGCGAGAGACGAAGUGUGCGUGAAGUCGCAACACAGUUGGGCUCUGUUUUCCCCUCAAACUGGAGGAUAAGGCUUUCUUCUGAAAGGACUUGCUUCCCCGAAGCCCACUUGCAUGAAACCACGCCUUUAGUAAACACCAGCCUCGGAGUCCUGGCGGCCCCAUCACCACAGAGAAAGGGAGAAGGGUAAGGAGCGACGACGCGCCUGAACUGCUCCUCUCCCGGGACCCUCCCUGUUAUUUCUCAGCACAGUACGCACGCUGACAAUCAUGAUGGUUUUCCAGGAAAGAAAAAAAGAGAGAGAGAGAGAGAAGUGAAAAUCCUGCAGUGCUCCACAGCACAUUGUGUCACUGCUAAAGACGAUUUGCCUCCUUCGUAAACUUCUACAUGUUUACGAAGGAGCCGAGAUACCAGGCCGGGAGAAUGAAGUGUUUGACACUAAAGUGGGCAGGUGAGGCAAGAGCCCUGGCUGAAGUUCAAGGAACUCGGGGACUAGCCCCAGCUCCCUCAUUAAUUUGCUCUUGUGCGCAAAGAAGUCACUUGACUCCAGGCCACUCAAUGUGUUUCCUUGGCAGCGGUGAAGUAUACCAGUGGCUUUCAACCGUUUUUAAGCAGCAAAACCCUUUCUUCAAAUGACAUCCUACAUGCAACCCUAACGUACAGCGAAGUGACACCGUCUGCACAUUUACCCCGAGCAAAGGGAGAGAGAGAGGAAGGGAGAAGAAGGAGGGAAGGGGGAGGGGAGCAAAGUUUUUGAUUUUAACACAGGCAAAUGUAUCUAUUUUUAUCUUUUGUCACCCGUGCUUUGGGUGUACCUAAGUAAGCUUUGCCUAACUCAGAGUAAACCCUGUCCCUUAUUUGAACAGAAGA